RNAcentral lists this ribosomal RNA (492 nucleotides) under uncultured bacterium. RNAcentral describes it as "partial 16S ribosomal RNA". It matches the Rfam family "Bacterial small subunit ribosomal RNA", at positions 29 to 507 of the family's 1533-position model. The record is from RNAcentral.
AGUGAACGCUGGCGGUAGGCCUAACACAUGCAAGUCGAACGGCAGCACAGUAAGAGCUUGCUCUUACGGGUGGCGAGUGGCGGACGGGUGAGGAAUACAUCGUAAUCUACUUUUUCGUGGGGGAUAACGUAGGGAAACUUACGCUAAUACCGCAUACGACCUACGUGUGAAAGCAGGGGAUCUUCGGACCUUGCGCUAUUGAAUGAGCCGAUGUCGGAUUAGCUAGUUGGGGGGGUAAAGGGCCACCAAGGCGACGAUCCGGAGCGGGUCGGAGAGGAGGGUCAGCCACACUGGAAGUACGACACGGCCCAGACUCCUACGGGAGGAGGCAGUGGGGAAUAUUGGACAAUGGGGGCAAGACUGAUCCAGCAAUACCGCGUGGGUGAAGAAGGCCUUCGGGUUGUAAAGCCCUUUUGCUGGGAAAGAAAAGCAGCAGGUUAAUACCCCGCUGUUUUGACGGUACCCAAAGAAUAAGCACCGGCUAACUUCGUG